This is a long non-coding RNA of Alnus glutinosa, 566 nucleotides long. RefSeq lists it as uncharacterized. The record is from RefSeq and is a predicted model, not a curated record. Lineage: Eukaryota; Viridiplantae; Streptophyta; Magnoliopsida; Fagales; Betulaceae. The transcript is spliced from 4 exons.
UUUUCCCUCUAGUCCUUUUUCCCACACACCUUUCCCUUUUCCCUCUUCCUUUUUCCCACCUUCUCAUUUCCCUCUUCCACAUGUAAUCCCUCUCUAAUCUCUCUCAGAUUACAGCUUGGGUCUUUAAUCUCUCUCACAAAAUACGGCUUCUCGAUCUAAUAUCUCUCUACCUCCAACGAACGGCGCUUGUAGGUCUCCAUCUCGAUCUCUCAGUUUGUCUCCUUGUGUCUCAAACCUAAUAUUUUCAAGGAAUCAGAGAUCCUUCUUUCAAAGGCCAUCUAUAUAUUAGCAGCCAGCACUCUGGUCAAUGAUUGGACAGGGCCUUGGGGCUGGUGGUGGAUUGGAGGGCAUAGCAUCCAUAAAAGCAAUCAACACUGGUUGGAUGCAUCCCACUAUUAAAAUUGUCAAAAGCAUAAAAGAGGUUAUGGAUUCGAAUCAAGCAUUCUGUAAUGAGUCCUGAAGGCAAUGUUGCCCUUUCAACGAUGUCCAUGUAUCUCAUCAUUGUUUUGAUGAAUUAGAAUUAGUAAUUUUUUUCAGUAAAUAAAACGUUGAUGCCAAUUUCCCUU